Non-coding RNA from Danio rerio (zebrafish), 2260 nucleotides. The record is from RefSeq and is a predicted model, not a curated record. Lineage: Eukaryota; Metazoa; Chordata; Actinopteri; Cypriniformes; Danionidae.
AGGAAAGACUGCAAAAAUAAGGCCCUAAAUGAACAGGAAACACAGAUUUAAUAAAGGCAUUUGAGAUGAUGAAAGAAAAAUUAGUUUAUCAUUAAAGGAAACAAUACAGAUUUGAAAGUUAAACAAGUGACAGAAUAUGAGGUAGCAAGUCAUCUAUAGUGCUUAUAGAGCAACAAUCUCAAUUGAAGAAAAUUGUGAAAAUUAAACAACAAAAAAGUCUCUGUGAACAAUCUAGCAUGAAAGGGGGGAAAUAGCCUAUAUACAUAAAAGACUAAUUGUUGUGCCAACAGCAUCUCCAAGUAUACUUAUUGCCGAUGCACAUAAAUUUGAUCAAGGGUGAAGUAUUAGGAAAACUUAAACAGCAAGGAGAUUGGUAUCCUUAUUCGAAUGCAGUACUUAGUGAGUUUUGUCCAUGUGACAUCUAUGGUAAAUAUAAUGUGAGGAAAGGAACAGCGAGCAGUACCUGAAGUGACUUUUAAGCAUUUAGUAAUGAGGGUUUGAGGUUAUAUUAAAACGAGUACAAGGCAAGAAAUACAUGUUUGUACUACUUAACAGGUUGGGAUUAAAAUCUGGUUGUGAUGAUUAACUAUAUUUCUCAUGAAUAAAAACAUCCAUUCUUAGAUUUGGACUAUCAUCAGAAAUAAUUUCAAAUAAUGAUUGUGCAUUAAUAAAUUUAGAGUAAAUUAAGUAAAUUAAAAAUAGCUAAAUAAGUAAAUAAGUGAUUAAAUAAAUAAUCAAAUAAAUAAAUAAAACAGUUAAAGAAGUACUGUUAAUUAAGAAUGAAUCAAAGGCUAGAGUGAAGUUUAUCAAGAACAAUCACAACAACUGGUCAAAGGCACCAAGAAGAUUUAUUAAGGCCAUAACUUUUUUGAAAAACGUAAAAAUAGUAAACCUGAUUGAGUUUGGAUUGGUAAACUGGACUAAAGUGUAAACUGAUGCUUUAAUGAGUUUUUAUGUAAACUAACAGAAACAGGAACACUGCAUGGAACACUAAUUGCACAUAAGUAUUUUUGUCGAAUAAGAAAAACUAACUGCCAUGUAUGAAGUUAUUUAUUUACAGGAACAGAACAGGGACUGACAGAAGGAAACUGUUUUGGAAGAUGUUCCUGCUGUUGCUGCUGCUGAUGAUGCAAAUAAAGAUGAGUGAAAGCCUAGAGGAGUUCAUCGAAGCUGCCGGAGCUCAUAUCAGAUGUACACGGGGAAAAAGGGAAGAUGAUUACGGUCAAGGGACACCUUGGUAUCCAAUGGCAGGAGAUGCAGAAGAGCAGACUCUACUGGCGGUUUAAAAACCCACUGUCUGCUCCAACACCAGACAGUACUCAGAAGUACCUCUGGCGACGUGGGAUAAAACAUCAGAUAUGGCUCUUUUACAGGCGCCGAGAAUAUUCUACAACUAUAUGAUUUCUAUUAAACGAUGAUUAAUCAAGUAUAUAUGCAGUAUACGCACAACUGUGAGCAAGGCUGACAAGCAUAUGUUUUUAACCUGUCUAAUGAUUAUUGUGUGUUGAACUCCCCCAAAGAAAGUAUUCAGUUAGGGAGAGCGGGAUCUUUUACUCCCUCUAAAGUCAAAAGUAGAGGGAGAUGUUUGGUUCUGUUUCUCCUCUGAAGUGCGGAGGAAGGAUGCUGACAAUUGAUAAGGAUGUAGAUGGGCAACUUUUUGGUUGCACAAGUAUGUUAAGACUUUGCAAGUGUUGGAUUCUUAAGUUGCACUUCAGCGAGGGAUUUAGGAAAGGGACUUUUUUGAUUAAGUCCCUAAGGGGGGAUUUAUUUAGGAGAAUUAUAGAGGAACUUUUAUUAUGUAAUCACUAUAUAAUCACUGUAUAAUCUGCCACUAUUAAAAUACACUGUUAAAACAUAUAGAAAUACAUUCAAGUGAUGCAGAGCAAAACACACAGAAGUAAACAGCGGUGAAGUAAGACCAUUCAGACAGCAUAUGCAACAUGUAUUGAUGUAUUGACCAUGACAAAAACAACUUAAAAACAACUUUGCUCAACCUGCAUGGCAAUAGCAUGCAUAGGGAGAAUCAUUUAAAAAGUGUUGAAAUAUGACCUUUAAGAUGUGCAAAAACAGAAAAACAUACAGCCAUCAAUAUAAAGGCUAGAAUCCUAUUGGAGCCUGGAAAUAACGUGAUGCUCAUGCUACACCACUGUUUCAUGAUGACUAUAGGAAAAACGUGUAUAUAAACUGUGGGUUUUGGAACAUUUGUAGGAGAGAGAUCGAUCGACCAACUCUACUGUAACAAUAAACUGCUUCAACUUGA